UUUUUUUUUUUUUUAUAAAGAACCAUCUGUUUAAAAUGACUUUAUUAAUUCCUUUUGGUGUAUUUUUUGACAUGUCUACAAAUUACAGAUCAUAAAUUUUCUAAUAACAAAUUGUUCAUGGAGCUCUAGGCAGAACCUAACAUGAGAAUCUAAAUAUAGAAGUGGUAUUUACAUAUGUACCCAAGUAAUUCAGACAUAAUGGAAGCCAUGUUUGCUAACACCAAUAUCACCAGUAGACAAGCUCUGUUAACACGAAAUACAAUGGUCCUGUAGAGUUUCCGUUAGGUCUAGUCAACUCUGCAGUAAGGUUAUAAUUUUACUCUUGUUAUAAAUCUCCAUCUUAUUUCAUUGUUUUCUUUAAAAAUAUCAUAUGUGACUUGAAUUUAAGGCAUAUGUUUUCUGGAAAGUUGGCACUCAGACCUUUUUUUCUUUGAGAACCCUGUUUCCAGUGGUAUUCAAAGGAGCAGAAGGGGGAAAAAAAAAAAAACAGAAGGAGAAUUAGGUCUAAUACUCUUAAUUCACAAAUACCCAUACAGCAUCUCACUUUAUUCUGCAGAUUGUAACAUUUUUCAGCCACCACACUUCAUGAAAUCCCACAGUGCCUUUUUCUAGCUCAUGAUGAGAAGUGCCUCAGGGAGGUUGGGACUGUGAUGCUGGAUUAUGCCCUGGAGGAGGGUGUGGGCUGCUGAUGAAAGAGGUGGGGCUUCUGUGCCCCGAAGCUGAUGAGAUGGGCUUUGCUGCCAUCUUUCAGGUUGAGACCCACAUAUUCAGAGAUUGCGCCUGGACUCUUCACCAGAGAACCCAAAUAGAACAUUACUUGUGCAGUGAGCACUGGCUUUGUUAUAGCAAACACAGGGGAUUUCUCUCAGCUAUUUUUCAGGUGUUCUCAUUCUGAAAAUGGAUGUUAAUAGAUAUAUGUACUUGUGUGGCUAUAAUACUGUUUUUCAUCUUAACUGUUGACUUCUACUAUAUCCCACUGUAGUUAAUAUACUCAAACAUGUUUAAGUCAUAAAUACAUAUAUUUUAGCGAGAGCAAGAUAUAACACUUUCUCCAUGAAACUGUCAUGUCUUGGCUUGGCAACACUUAUACUUACUGGUUCUCUUCUAUUCUGAAUGGUCCUUUCUCUGUUUCUUUUGCUCCUCAAUUUUCUUCCAUCCCCUUAAAUGAGGAUGAACCCUGAGGUUCUGACCUCUCUUCUGUUUUAAUCCCUAACAUAUUUCCCAAGCUGGUACCAGUGGUAUUCCAAUUACCCCAACAUGUUGACAUCCAUUUCCACCUAGCUGCCUAAUCAAUCUAUUUAUAUUACUGUGUUGGCAUUCAUUACCUAGCCUAGUCAAGUAUGUACAUGUGCCACACAGACACACAGACACAUACACACACACAGGCCAAUUUCUUUUUCUAAUUUCCCUAAUGCUAUUCAUUGUACCAAUAUUCUCUGAGUCAAUCAAAUUCAUAUCCAUAGCUAUCUUUGAUUCUUUUCUGUCACCAAAUUGUGACCAUCAUGGGCAUUUCAUGAUGGUGUCACAAAUGCAUAUGCUUUCUGACAUGGCCUUCUUCUUUGAGUCUCCAUUUAAUUUGAUCUGGAUAAAACUAAGCACCUCUUUGAUUGUAUUAAUCUUAUGCAUAAAAUAGCCAAUAAAGUUCUGGAACUACCAUACAAAGCUUCAGUGUAAUUUAGUAGAAUUAAUCUGACAAAGAAGACUCUAUCAAAUGUAGGCAUGUCUGCGCAAGGCUGUCUUUGUCUCUUGUUGUCCUAAAUACCAACAAGCCUAAAGAAUGCUUUCAGUCUAUCCUGCUCUUUCCUCAGUCUUAUCCCCUUAAUCUACACUUACGGGGAACAUUCCUGGGAAGCUCUUUUCCUGCCCCUGACUACUGUGGCAUGCUAGGCCUCUCAUAACACAACUAUGAUACAGAACCUUGACUUGUCCUCAUUUGUAUCCUUGUCAAACCUCUCCACCAUAGUGUCAUCAACAUUGUGAGAUGGAAAUCAUGCCUUAUUGACCACUGUGGCCCUUGCAGCAUCUAGCACAUGGCCUUUAUAGAAUAGGUGCUCAGUAAGCACAUGUUAAAUUUUGGAACAAUGAAAAAAAAAAUUUUGGAACAAUGGACAUUCGAGUUCCUAGGAAGAGGGAAGAAGUGCUAUUAAACCAAGGAAUAGUGGGAUCCUGAUGCAGAACUGACAGGGCAUAAGGUAAAUAAAUUUCACAUGUAGAAGUUACAAUGGAUCCCUGCAAAUACACUUUGUUUCAUGAUGUCUUACUUCUUCCACCUAAUAUUCCAGUCUGGUAGCUGUAUUCUUUUGCUUUGUGCUAU
Molecule: long non-coding RNA, 2314 nt
Filed under: Canis lupus familiaris (dog)
Lineage: Eukaryota; Metazoa; Chordata; Mammalia; Carnivora; Canidae
Description: lncRNA (ENSCAFG00000059093.1)
Source: RNAcentral